UACGUAGGGCGCAAGCGUUAUCCGGAAUUAUUGGGCGUAAAGAGCUCGUAGGCGGUUUGUCGCGUCUGCCGUGAAAGUCCGGGGCUCAACUCCGGAUCUGCGGUGGGUACGGGCAGACUAGAGUGAUGUAGGGGAGACUGGAAUUCCUGGUGUAGUGGUGAAAUGCGCAGAUAUCAGGAGGAACACCGAUGGCGAAGGCAGAUCUCUGGGCCGUAACUGACGCUGAGGAGCGAAAGCAUGGGGAGCGAACAGG
Molecule: ribosomal RNA, 253 nt
Filed under: uncultured bacterium
Lineage: Bacteria
Description: partial 16S ribosomal RNA
Rfam family: Bacterial small subunit ribosomal RNA
Source: RNAcentral